RNAcentral lists this ribosomal RNA (280 nucleotides) under uncultured marine eukaryote. RNAcentral describes it as "partial 18S ribosomal RNA". It matches the Rfam family "Eukaryotic small subunit ribosomal RNA", at positions 1 to 281 of the family's 1831-position model. The record is from RNAcentral.
AACCUGGUUGAUCCUGCCAGUAGUCAUACGCUCGUCUCAAAGAUUAAGCCAUGCAUGUCUAAGUAUAAGCAUUUAUACUGUGAAACUGCGAAUGGCUCAUUAUAUCAGUUAUAGUUUAUUUGAUAGUACCUUACUACAUGGAUAACCGUAGUAAUUCUAGAGCUAAUACAUGCAUCAACUCCCGACUUCGGAAGGGACGUAUUUAUUAGAUUGAAACCAAUGCGCGUUUCGGCGCGGUAUUGUGGUGAGUCAUAAUAACUGAGCGGAUCGCACGUGCCUU